GGAAUGUGUUUCAGUGGUAGAACACAUGUUUAACAUGCACAAGCCCUGGGUUCAAUUCCCAUCACCG
RNAcentral lists this transfer RNA (67 nucleotides) under Marmota monax (woodchuck). Its description in RNAcentral is "tRNA.Val". The record is from RNAcentral. Lineage: Eukaryota; Metazoa; Chordata; Mammalia; Rodentia; Sciuridae.